RNAcentral lists this long non-coding RNA (1511 nucleotides) under Danio rerio (zebrafish). RNAcentral's name for it is "si:ch211-214o2.3 (ENSDARG00000097219.2)". The record is from RNAcentral. Lineage: Eukaryota; Metazoa; Chordata; Actinopteri; Cypriniformes; Danionidae.
UCUACUUCCAUCGAUAUUCUAAAGUAUGCAUUUGAUGAACUCUAUGCUAUCCCAUGAUGCCACAUGAGAGAAUUCAUAAAUAGGAGUGAAGCAAUGCAACUGAUGCGGGUAGAUCAUGUGAUAAUGACAAAUGGUGGAUGUAGUACAUUCAAGCACCAUUCAUACUACUUGCAUUCAUAUGUAUAGAUCGUACUUUUCUAAUGGUUGUGUAGUAAAUUUAAAUUCAAAUGUAGUACUUUCUCUAGUAGUAGGCAAUUUUGAAUACAACCUUUGAAUGGUUUUAUGUGUUUAUUUUUAAUCUAAAAGACUAUAACUAUUCACUGCAAUUAUAUGAAUCACCAAGGAUCACAGAUUCAGCUCAAAAUCUCCUUUAAUGUUCUACUAAAGAAAAAGUCGCCAUCUUGGAUGACGUGUGGGUGCUUGUGUGGUCCAUAACAGCUAAGUAUCUCUGCUGUCUUGACUGCGGCCAAGGACAGCCGAGAUCAGAUCUGAGCAGCCUGGACUGCAGCCAAGAGCAGCAUUUUCCUCCCCAUUCUCCGUCUAGAUCCUUCAAAAGCUCCUAGACUCCCACUAAAUGACAAUCCACUGCUUUUAUCAAAGUGGGAACUUGUCUCAACCCACUUCGAUGCAGCUUACCUGGCAGGAAUCAUUUGUUCAAGGACUGUUAUCAGAGUGAGAAGCGGCUGUGGAUGGACUAACCGAGAUACAAAGCCAGUGUGUGUACAGUACCUGGGCAACUGUAGACAGUUUACAGAAUCAGGACGAUCCAAAGCCCCGUUAUCCUCCAUGCCAAAGUAGCUGCAGUUCUUGGCCAGAAACUGCCAGUCUUUCCAUUCUGAGCUCCCGACUGUCUUCCUUUGAAUGCGGACCGCUUCGGGCUGAGCAUUGAGGAAUUGGAGUAUCACGUAGAAAACCUGUACAGGAAGCAUGCGAAAUUGACAGAGGGUGAAAUAUGCAUGAAAUACUAAACAGCAAUGGAUUAUCUAUUAUCUGCACAGCAACAGUCAAUGCUCCGCUGCCUCCUAAAGCACGUCGGCGCUUUGAAGAACAGCUUGAAGACCCGCUUUACUCUUCCCUCUCUCCCUCUGUGGCUUCAUUUGGAGGAGUUUGUUGAGAAACUGGUUGCAGCUUUGACUAAGUGGACACUUCAAAGUCUGUGUGGUGGUGUGUUUUAUCUGCUAUUGAGAGGAGAGACUGAGGCAGAGCUGCAUAAAUCCUCUGCUUCUUUACAGCUGGACUCUCUGCUUGGCUUGGCUUAGCCACAUGGAUGACUGGGCGACUCACCCAGACACACACAAAGGACUUUAGGUCGGCUUUAGUGUAUUCAAAUGGAAAAGACGCUACCCAGUGUCUGGAUUUGAGAGAGCAGCCACACAAAUUCACAACACUGGGUUGAAGCUUACUUUAAACCUGUGGUUUACAGCCAGGAGGCCAAGGCCCACUAGAGGGCAUCUGAAAACCUCUUGAGGAGUUUAAAAUAAGUAAAUCAAUAAAAUAAAGAUGUACAAGUU